Long non-coding RNA from Dreissena polymorpha, 702 nucleotides. RefSeq lists it as uncharacterized. The record is from RefSeq and is a predicted model, not a curated record. The transcript has 3 exons. NCBI's taxonomy places the organism in Eukaryota, Metazoa, Mollusca, Bivalvia, Myida, Dreissenidae.
AUUUCUUUGGCUAUCAUAAUUUAGCAUUUAUUAUGUAGCAUUUUAUAGCUUCUGAGUUUGUAAUAUAUAUAUAGUCAGUAUAAUGUAACAUGUUCACUGAACUGACUUAUAUUUAUAGCGACUCUUUAAUAAUAAUAAUUAAUCCACUUUUUUGUAACAAAAUACAUUAAAUGCCAAACCUAAAGUAACAUCCUUCAAGGUCAACGGUAAACAAAUAAAUAUGUUCAAAGCGGCGCAGUAGGGAGCAUUGUUUCUAACAAACACAUCUCUUGUUCCAUACUAAAUUAACUUUGAAUUAACUGUUUUUGUUUUUUUUGUUACAGAUACAUCAAAUCUAGGCAUAAUUGCAACAUGUUAUUAUUAUUAAUAAGCAUAAGCGUAUGUGCCUAAGUGUUUUACAAAGUUAUAUGUUUGAAUUAAUUUUUGCGGUUUAUUUUUGCAGCUUCUUCAUAUGCGUUACAAAGCAGUGAGAGUGCCACAACAGCCAGCAGAGAAGAACAUAUGAGUGUACCAGUCAUGAAAGUAGAGGCAUGAAGUGGAAAGAAUCGCUCACAAAGAAGACCGACAAGAGAUCACAAGGAGAUACCUUAACAAAACUUACAGAGAAACCGAUGGAAAAAGACUAAGAAAAAAUAGAAUAAAAAAAAAAAAAGUUGACUGUAGAAAUUGAAAUAAUACAUUUGGAGAAAAAGAUGUGUUUAG